RNAcentral lists this ribosomal RNA (490 nucleotides) under uncultured bacterium. RNAcentral describes it as "partial 16S ribosomal RNA". It matches the Rfam family "Bacterial small subunit ribosomal RNA", at positions 28 to 507 of the family's 1533-position model. The record is from RNAcentral.
GAUGAACGCUAGCUACAGGCUUAACACAUGCAAGUCGCGGGGCAGCAUGGGGGUUGCUUGCAAUCCCCGAUGGCGACCGGCGCACGGGUGAGUAACGCGUAUUCAACCUGCCCUUCACCACGGGAUAACCCGGCGAAAGUCGGACUAAUACCGUAUGUUUUCCAUUGACGGCAUCCGAUUUGGACGAAAGGCUUGGCGGUGAGGGAUGGGGAUGCGUCCGAUUAGCCAGACGGCGGGGUAACGGCCCACCGUGGCUACGAUCGGUAGGGGUUCUGAGAGGAAGGUCCCCCACACUGGAACUGAGACACGGUCCAGACUCCUACGGGAGGCAGCAGUGAGGAAUAUUGGUCAAUGGGCGUAAGCCUGAACCAGCCAAGUAGCGUGCAGGAUGACGGCCCUAUGGGUUGUAAACUGCUUUUAUGCGGGGAUAAAGUGGCCCACGUGUGGGCUUUUGCAGGUACCGCAUGAAUAAGGACCGGCUAAUUCCGUG